GGCCGACUGGCCUAAUGGUUAAGGCGUCAGUUUCCGGUUGUGUGUUAGCUGAAGAUUCUGGGUUCGAAUCCCAGGUUGGUCG
Obba rivulosa is the source of this 82-nucleotide non-coding RNA. NCBI's taxonomy places the organism in Eukaryota, Fungi, Basidiomycota, Agaricomycetes, Polyporales, Gelatoporiaceae. The record is from the annotation of a GenBank genome assembly.